CCGUCUCUUCACUACAGGGUUUUUCAUGAAAGUGAGAAUUCAAGGUGAAUUCAAAGUGAAUUUCACAUUUAAGGUCAACAUAGACAAACUGGAAGGAUUGUGUAAGUUGGCUAUGGUUUAAAUACAGCUACUCUGCCCUUGAAUUUGAAAUUUACUUUGAAUUCUUACUUUUGUGAAUAAGCCUGAUAGUCUUGCAGUUGAAUAGUUGCCAUAAGCACACAAAAUAAAAUGAUAGUCAAGGAUGUUUAGCUACCUGAAACGGAACAAACUGUCCAGUCUAAGAAAUGUCAACGAAAAGUAAAAAAACUGCAAAAAAUUUAAUAAAAGUAGACGAAUAGAAUACUCACUAAAG
Pelobates cultripes (western spadefoot toad) is the source of this 352-nucleotide non-coding RNA. Lineage: Eukaryota; Metazoa; Chordata; Amphibia; Anura; Pelobatidae. The record is from the annotation of a GenBank genome assembly.